RNAcentral lists this ribosomal RNA (914 nucleotides) under uncultured archaeon. Its description in RNAcentral is "bacterial SSU rRNA". It matches the Rfam family "Archaeal small subunit ribosomal RNA", at positions 1 to 922 of the family's 1478-position model. The record is from RNAcentral.
UUCCGGUUGAUCCUGCCGGACCUGACUGCUAUCGGAUUGAUACUAAGCCAUGCGAGUCAUUGUAGCAAUACAAGGCAGACGGCUCAGUAACGCGUAGUCAACCUACCCUAUGGACGGGAAUAACCUCGGGAAACUGAGAAUAAUACCCGAUAGAACAUUAUGCCUGGAAUGGUUUAUGUUUCAAAUGAUUUAUCGCCGUAGGAUGGGACUGCGGCCUAUCAGUUUGUUGGUGAGGUAAUGGCCCACCAAGACUAUUACAGGUACGGGCUCUGAGAGGAGUAGCCCGGAGAUGGGUACUGAGACACGGACCCAGGCCCUAUGGGGCGCAGCAGGCGAGAAAACUUUGCAAUGUGCGAAAGCACGACAAGGUUAAUCCGAGUGGUUUCUGCUAAAGGAACCUUUUGUCAGUCCUAGAAACACUGAUGAAUAAGGGGUGGGCAAGUUCUGGUGUCAGCCGCCGCGGUAAAACCAGCACCUCAAGUGGUCAGGAUGAUUAUUGGGCCUAAAGCAUCCGUAGCCGGCUCUGUAAGUUUUCGGUUAAAUCUGUACGCUCAACGUACAGGCUGCCGGGAAUACUGCAGAGCUAGGGAGUGGGAGAGGUAGACGGUACUCGGUAGGAAGGGGUAAAAUCCUUUGAUCUAUUGAUGACCACCUGUGGCGAAGGCGGUCUACCAGAACACGUCCGACGGUGAGGGAUGAAAGCUGGGGGAGCAAACCGGAUUAGAUACCCGGGUAGUCCCAGCUGUAAACUAUGCAAACUCAGUGAUGCAUUGGCUUGUGGCUAAUGCAGUGCUGCAGGGAAGCCGUUAAGUUUGCCGCCUGGGAAGUACGUACGCAAGUAUGAAACUUAAAGGAAUUGGCGGGGGAGCACCACAAGGGGUGAAGCCUGCGGUUCAAUUGGAUUCAACGCCGGG